RNAcentral lists this ribosomal RNA (253 nucleotides) under uncultured bacterium. Its description in RNAcentral is "partial 16S ribosomal RNA". It matches the Rfam family "Bacterial small subunit ribosomal RNA", at positions 524 to 776 of the family's 1533-position model. The record is from RNAcentral.
UACGGAGGGUGCAAGCGUUAAUCGGAAUUACUGGGCGUAAAGCGUGCGCAGGCGGUUGUGCAAGACCGAUGUGAAAUCCCCGGGCUUAACCUGGGAAUGGCAUUGGUGACUGUACGGCUAGAGUGUGUCAGAGGGGGGUAGAAUUCCACGUGUAGCAGUGAAAUGCGUAGAGAUGUGGAGGAAUACCGAUGGCGAAGGCAGCCCCCUGGGAUGACACUGACGCUCAUGCACGAAAGCGUGGGGAGCAAACAGG